Molecule: ribosomal RNA, 301 nt
Filed under: uncultured bacterium
Lineage: Bacteria
Description: partial 16S ribosomal RNA
Rfam family: Bacterial small subunit ribosomal RNA
Source: RNAcentral
CAGUCGCCACGGGAACACGGAGGGUGCAAGCGUUAAUCGGAAUUACUGGGCGUAAAGCGCACGCAGGCGGUUUGUUAAGUCAGAUGUGAAAUCCCCGAGCUUAACUUGGGAACUGCAUUUGAAACUGGCAAGCUAGAGUCUUGUAGAGGGGGGUAGAAUUCCAGGUGUAGCGGUGAAAUGCGUAGAGAUCUGGAGGAAUACCGGUGGCGAAGGCGGCCCCCUGGACAAAGACUGACGCUCAGGUGCGAAAGCGUGGGGAGCAAACAGGAUUAGAUACCCCUGUAGUCCCUGUCUCUUAUAC